CUUGCUUCUCUUGAGAGCGGCGGACGGGUGAGUAAUGCCUAGGAAUCUGCCUGGUAGUGGGGGAUAACGUUCGGAAACGGACGCUAAUACCGCAUACGUCCUACGGGAGAAAGCAGGGGACCUUCGGGCCUUGCGCUAUCAGAUGAGCCUAGGUCGGAUUAGCUAGUUGGUGGGGUAAUGGCUCACCAAGGCUACGAUCCGUAACUGGUCUGAGAGGAUGAUCAGUCACACUGGAACUGAGACACGGUCCAGACUCCUACGGGAGGCAGCAGUGGGGAAUAUUGGACAAUGGGCGAAAGCCUGAUCCAGCCAUGCCGCGUGUGUGAAGAAGGUCUUCGGAUUGUAAAGCACUUUAAGUUGGGAGGAAGGGUUGUAGAUUAAUACUCUGCAAUUUUGACGUUACCGACAGAAUAAGCACCGGCUAACUCUGUGCCAGCAGCCGCGGUAAUACAGAGGGUGCAAGCGUUAAUCGGAAUUACUGGGCGUAAAGCGCGCGUAGGUGGUUUGUUAAGUUGGAUGUGAAAUCCCCGGGCUCAACCUGGGAACUGCAUUCAAAACUGACUGACUAGAGUAUGGUAGAGGGUGGUGGAAUUUCCUGUGUAGCGGUGAAAUGCGUAGAUAUAGGAAGGAACACCAGUGGCGAAGGCGACCACCUGGACUAAUACUGACACUGAGGUGCGAAAGCGUGGGGAGCAAACAGGAUUAGAUACCC
Molecule: ribosomal RNA, 712 nt
Filed under: uncultured bacterium
Lineage: Bacteria
Description: bacterial SSU rRNA
Rfam family: Bacterial small subunit ribosomal RNA
Source: RNAcentral